ACAGCUCUUAAAGAGUCUCUUUAUUUCUAUAUGAUUGAGGUGCUAAGGAAAGGAGAGGUGACAUAGAACGAGACCCAGGAGACUGUAACUAGAAGGGCUGGAAAGAAGACUGGCAGAGGGACUUGAAUUUUUUUUUUUAACAUUUUACUCAUUAUUUGUGUACACAAACUUGCCAUGGCACACAGAUAGGAGUCUCUUCUCUCCUUCCACCAUAUCGGAGCUACUUGGUGAUUGCUGGGCUUGGCAGCAAGCACCUGUACCCACUAAACCAUCUCACCAGGUUUUUUUUUUUUUUUAACUAAUGAAAAUGCAUCUUUUGAUACGAUUAGUAGACUACCUUAAGGGUGAAGAUAAUAUGAAGUGCUCUUCAGAAUUUUAAUUGGUAUCAGGCUCUACUUUGUAGCAUUAGUAGGGUAGAUGUCAGUUUACUGCUUGAAUUCCAGAACACUAAUGAAAUGUAUAGGUGCAACAUGAGUAAACCAAUUUUUAUUAGGUUUUGUGCAGGCAUGUUUGUGUGCAUAUGCAUGUAUGCAUAUGGAGGCCAGAAGUUCCAUAAGGAUGGUUCAUCAGGAGCCAGCAACUUACUUUUGGUUGGUUGGUUUGAGGCAGUUCCACUAACUAGCCCUGGCUGACUUAGAACACACAUGGUAAGCUUGCCUUUGCCCUAGUUUCUCACAAGCUGGGUUAAGGGCUUUUGUCAGUUAGGCUAGACUACCCUAGGGACCCACCUAUAUCUGUCUCCUGAGCACUGGGCUUGGCUGCGAGCUUAACAAAUCUACUCAACUUUUAAGUUCAGGAGAUUAAAAUCAGAUCCUUACAUUUUGUAACAAGUGCUUCAGCAACUGAGCUGUCUCGCCAGCUCUAACUUUAAUCAUUGGGAAAACUGGAAUUACCAGGUAACAAUUGCAGUCUUUAGGUAGGUAUAUUAAAUAGAGCCCAGGGUUACAUAGAAGAGAUAAUAUUUGAUAGAAAGUCAGGAUUAGGAAGAGCAGAAUUCUGUACAGAAGAAAUGACAUUUUGGGAAACUUGAAAUAUUAACAAAGCAUAUCACAUCCAAGAGUCACCUGGUUUCUCUCCUUAAUCCUGUCUUGUAAGCAUCCUACCCAAGUGAGACUUAAUCCACCCGAAAUAUCUGCCGGCCCUUGAGCAGAGUCACCUCACGCUCUAGAGCUUUGUUGCUUUGGGAUCUUUAGUAAUGCUUGUCUUCAGUCAGAACUUCAUUGUCUGCCAGGGAUGAUGGUGUCUGCCUGUAACCUUAGCAUUAAAAAGAUGCAAACAGAAUUGCAAGUUGAAGGCCAGACUGACUGUCUUAACAAGAGCUUGCCUCAGAAAAACACCACCGAUAUACUGAAGAUACAGGACUCUUGGCACACGCCUUUAAUCCCAGUACUCUGGAGACAGGGAUCUCUAAGUUUGAGGCCAGCCUGGUCUUGAGAGUAAGUUAGGAAGGCCAAGGCUACAUAGAGAAACUCUGUCUCGAAAAGCC
Molecule: long non-coding RNA, 1486 nt
Filed under: Mus musculus (house mouse)
Lineage: Eukaryota; Metazoa; Chordata; Mammalia; Rodentia; Muridae
Description: long non-coding RNA chr5:147079359-147080845
Source: RNAcentral